RNAcentral lists this long non-coding RNA (1263 nucleotides) under Anas platyrhynchos platyrhynchos (common mallard). RNAcentral's name for it is "lncRNA (ENSAPLG00000025086.1)". The record is from RNAcentral. Lineage: Eukaryota; Metazoa; Chordata; Aves; Anseriformes; Anatidae.
AUGGUUGAAACCAAAAAGUUGGGAUUUGGUUGUUCUCUAUAUCAAGCUUCUACUCAUGGUUUACACCAGAGAAGAGUUGGAGGUGGUUUUGGUCCAUAUCAAGCAUCUACUUGGGGUUGGCACCAGAGAGGAGUUGGAGGUGGUUUUGGUCUACGUCAACCAUGGUUGACACCAAAAAGUUGGAGUUGGGCUUUCUCUACGUCAAGGUUCUACUCAAGGUUGGCACCAGAGAAGAGCUCGAGGUGGUUUUGGUUUACGUCAACCAUGGUUGACACCAAAAAGUUGGAGUUGGGCUUUCUCUGCAUCAAGGUUCUACUCGUGGUUGGCACCAGAGAAGAACCCAAAAUUAGACUUGGUUUACUCUACUCUUCAAGCUUCUACUCGUGGUUGGCACCAGAGAAGAGCUCGAGGUGGUUUUGGUCUACGUCAAGCAUCUACUCAUGGUUUCCACCAAAGACUUGGAGUUGGUCUUCCUCUACGUCAAGCCUCUACUCAAGGUUGCUACCAACGACUUGGAGCUGGUUUUUCUCUACAUCCAACUUCUACUCAUGGUUGCUACCAAGGAGUUGGAGAUGUUUUUUGUCUACAUCAAGCUUCUACUCAUGGUUUCCACCAAAGACUUGGAGAUGUUUUUUCUCUAUGCCCAAGCCUCUACUCAUGGUUUCCACCAAAGCCUUGGAGAUGUUUUUCUCUAUGCCAAGCCUCUACUCAUGGUUUCCACCAAGGAGUUGGAGUUGGUCUUACUCUACAUUAAGCAUCUACUCAUGGUUUCCACCAAAGAGUUGCUCUUCCUCUAUGCCAAGCAUCUACUCAUGGUUUCCACCAAGGAGUUGGAGAUAUUUUCCCCUUUCUCAACCACAGCCGCCACCCGAGAAGAACCGAACCAAACCCUCCUCCCUCCCACCCCCUCCUCACACCUCCCACCCCACCCCCCGCCCCCUACUCGUCCUCCCCCACCCCCGCACCCGUAGACCAGGAGGUGCUUCUCCACGCGGAAGCAGUCGGUGCGGCCGUAGGGGUGGUGGAGGGGGUGGUGGUGGUGGUGGGGGUGGUGGUGGGGGGGGUGGUGGUGGCGCCGCGAGCGGGGCCGCUCCUCGUCCUCGCUCUCCAGGUCGGAGAAUUCCACCAGGUCGUCGUCGCGCAAGGUGCUGAAGUGGCGCGUCUGCUUGCGCACCCGGGGCGUGUCGAUCACCAGGUUGUUCUACAAGUAGUAAACCAGGAGUAGGAGGACGAAGAGGAGGAGGAGGGUGAAGGAUGAAGGUC